UGGGAUUCCCAUGAUGCAACAGCAGCAGCCGCAGCAGGGUCCUCCACAAACAGAGGCCGUGAGAAGAUUCAAGCGCUUUCUGAUGAGGAGGGCUCACACCAUGAAACCUGAUUUGGAUAUUCAGAUUUCGACUGAGACAACUCCAUCCCCAACUACUUGUUAAGACAAUAUUCAAGUUUAGAGUGGACAAAUUGGAGAGGAACAAGGUGUCUACUGUAGAAGAUGGACGCAGGGGAAUUUCACAAAAUCGUCCACAACACUAUAAGUUAAUCAUAUCAGAUACCCUAGCGGUAUAACCGAAAGGUUGCUGAUUCAAAUCCC
This is a long non-coding RNA of Coregonus clupeaformis (lake whitefish), 321 nucleotides long. RefSeq lists it as uncharacterized. The transcript is spliced from 4 exons. NCBI's taxonomy places the organism in Eukaryota, Metazoa, Chordata, Actinopteri, Salmoniformes, Salmonidae. The record is from RefSeq and is a predicted model, not a curated record.